UACGUAGGGUGCGAGCGUUGGUCCGGAAUUAUUGGGCGUAAAGAGCUUGUAGGCGGUUUGUCGCGUCUGCCGUGAAAUUUCGAGGCUCAACCUCGAACUUGCGGUGGGUACGGGCAGAACUAGAGUGUGGUAGGGGAGACUGGAAUUCCUGGUGUAGCGGUGAAAUGCGCAGAGUAUCAAGGAGGAACACCAAUAGCGAAGGCAGCUCGCUGGGACGUACUGACACUGAGGCGCGAAAGCGUGGGGAGCGAACAGGG
This 257-nucleotide ribosomal RNA is filed under the name uncultured bacterium. RNAcentral describes it as "partial 16S ribosomal RNA". It matches the Rfam family "Bacterial small subunit ribosomal RNA", at positions 524 to 777 of the family's 1533-position model. The record is from RNAcentral.